This is a long non-coding RNA of Dermochelys coriacea (leatherback sea turtle), 937 nucleotides long. RefSeq lists it as uncharacterized. NCBI's taxonomy places the organism in Eukaryota, Metazoa, Chordata, Testudines, Dermochelyidae. The transcript is spliced from 3 exons. The record is from RefSeq and is a predicted model, not a curated record.
CCCGGGCGCCGCCCGUCAGCCCUGGAGUGGACCCCGGCGGCCGGGCCGGGCCGGGACCCAGGGCCCGGCCCCUUCCCCCGCAGUGCAACAGCCCCGCAUCCCGAGCCGGGGGGGAGGGAAGGGCUAAAUCCUGAACAGUCCUCAGGAGGGAAGACCCACUGGGAGCUGCCGCUCUGGUUCCUACACGUAGGGGCAGCCGGGGUCUCCCCUGUGCACGCUGCCCCUACCCCCCCGCAGCUCCCAUUGGCCGGGAACCGCAGCCAUUGGGAGCUGCAGAGGCGGUGCCUGCAGACGGGGCAGUGUGCAGAGCCCCCUGGCUGCGCCUCCACGUAGGAGCCGGAGAAGGGACAUGCCGCUGCUUCCGGUAGGCGCUUGAGGUAGUAACAGGCUAUUGGCUCAUUGCCCUAUGGGCCAUCUCUUCCAAGAACUCUCCUGGGGUUCCUGUGUCUUUGAAUAUGCUUAAGGAGCAAGGAGAACAAUGGAGAUGCCUUUUCAUAGAUGUUCAGGCCAGAAGGGACCAUUGCGUCAUUUCGUCUGAUGAUCCCUUCCAGAGAUGAAAGGAUGGCUGUUGGACUUGGGAGGAUCCAGAAUUUUCCAUAGCACUUGUGAAUGAGCUGGGCUCCUUAACAGGAGGCAUGAUAACGUAAUGCCUUUUAGGAGGGCAAAUUAAUUAUAUUACUUAUGAAAACUUAAGUUACAUAGGUAGUCACAAAAUCAAGCAACUUAAAUGCUGAAUGUAGGUUGCACGUGCAACCUCAGCUUGGCUCCCUUAUACCUAUGCAUUAUAAUAAACUUUGGUUACAUGAUCACAUGCUAUUUUUUUUCCACAUGACGUCUGUCUCAUUCAGUGCACAAGAUGGACAUGCUCAUGGAAGGGAAUAAAGCAGCUGUUUGAGAUUUUAUUUUUUAAAUUCAAGUAGUGCCCCCUGCUUACUUC